UACGUAGGGUGCAAGCGUUACUCGGAAUUACUGGGCGUAAAGCGUGCGCAGGCGGCUUUGCAAGUCAGAUGUGAAAUCCCCGGGCUUAACCUGGGAACUGCAUUUGUGACUGCAUAGCUAGAGUACGGUAGAGGGGGAUGGAAUUCCGCGUGUAGCAGUGAAAUGCGUAGAUAUGCGGAGGAACACCGAUGGCGAAGGCAAUCCCCUGGACCUGUACUGACGCUCAUGCACGAAAGCGUGGGGAGCAAACAGG
Molecule: ribosomal RNA, 253 nt
Filed under: uncultured bacterium
Lineage: Bacteria
Description: partial 16S ribosomal RNA
Rfam family: Bacterial small subunit ribosomal RNA
Source: RNAcentral